Molecule: ribosomal RNA, 459 nt
Filed under: uncultured bacterium
Lineage: Bacteria
Description: partial 16S ribosomal RNA
Rfam family: Bacterial small subunit ribosomal RNA
Source: RNAcentral
CCUACGGGAGGCAGCAGUGAGGAAUAUUGGUCAAUGGGCGGAAGCCUGAACCAGCCAAGUAGCGUGCGGGAUGAAGGCCCUACGGGUCGUAAACCGCUUUUGCACGGGGAUAACACCCUCCACGUGUGGAGGUCUGCAGGUACCGUGCGAAUAAGGGCCGGCUAAUUCCGUGCCAGCAGCCGCGGUAAUACGGAGGGCCCGAGCGUUAUCCGGAUUGAUUGGGCUUAAAGGGAGGGUAGGCGGGCGUUCAAGUCAGCGGUAAAAUCGCGCGGCUCAACCGCGCCCCGCAGUUGAAACUGGACGCCUUGAGUUCACAACAGGUAGGCGGAAUGCGUGGUGUAGCGGUGAAAUGCAUAGAGAUCACGAGGAACCCCGAUUGCGAAGGCAGCCUGCCGGGGUGCGACUGACGCUGAGGCUCGAAGGUGCGGGUAUCAAACAGGAUUAGAUACCCUAGUAGUC